RNAcentral lists this non-coding RNA (27 nucleotides) under Mus musculus (house mouse). The record is from RNAcentral. Lineage: Eukaryota; Metazoa; Chordata; Mammalia; Rodentia; Muridae.
UGAGCAGAUGCGGCAGAACCUAGGUUU